This 112-nucleotide non-coding RNA is filed under the name uncultured eukaryote. The record is from RNAcentral.
CGGGUUUGACGGAAGUGAAGCAGGCCUUGUGCUUUCCCACCGCGACGGGGAUGACGCUGUCCGUCGUCCUGCUCGGGCUGCGGCUGCACUGGAAGACCCCUUUGGAGAGGCG